Molecule: ribosomal RNA, 523 nt
Filed under: Salmonella enterica subsp. enterica serovar Derby
Lineage: Bacteria; Pseudomonadati; Pseudomonadota; Gammaproteobacteria; Enterobacterales; Enterobacteriaceae
Also listed under: 1 other name
Description: partial 23S ribosomal RNA
Rfam family: Bacterial large subunit ribosomal RNA
Source: RNAcentral
ACUGUGUGUUGUUGGGUAGGGGAGCGUUCUGUAAGCCUGCGAAGGUGGCCUGUGAGGGUUGCUGGAGGUAUCAGAAGUGCGAAUGCUGACAUAAGUAACGAUAAAGCGGGUGAAAAGCCCGCUCGCCGGAAGACCAAGGGUUCCUGUCCAACGUUAAUCGGGGCAGGGUGAGUCGACCCCUAAGGCGAGGCCGAAAGGCGUAGUCGAUGGGAAACGGGUUAAUAUUCCCGUACUUGGUGUUACUGCGAAGGGGGGACGGAGAAGGCUAUGUUGGCCGGGCGACGGUUGUCCCGGUUUAAGCGUGUAGGUGUGUGUUCCAGGUAAAUCCGGUUCACUUUAACACUGAGGCGUGAUGACGAGGCACUACGGUGCUGAAGCAACAAAUGCCCUGCUUCCAGGAAAAGCCUCUAAGCAUCAGGUAACAUCAAAUCGUACCCCAAACCGACACAGGUGGUCAGGUAGAGAAUACCAAGGCGCUUGAGAGAACUCGGGUGAAGGAACUAGGCAAAAUGGUGCCGUAACU